GACGAACGCUGGCGGCGUGCCUAAUACAUGCAAGUCGAACGAAGCUGUUUUAACUGGUGCUUGCACCGACUUAAACAACUGAGUGGCGAACGGGUGAGUAACACGUGGGUAACCUGCCCCAAAGCGGGGGAUAACAUUUGGAAACAGAUGCUAAUACCGCAUAACCACAGAAACCACAUGGUUUCUGUGUCAAAGAUGGUUUCGGCUAUCACUUUGGGAUGGACCCGCGGCGUAUUAGCUAGUUGGUAAGGUAAUGGCUUACCAAGGCAAUGAUACGUAGCCGAACUGAGAGGUUGAUCGGCCACAUUGGGACUGCGCCCCGGCCCAAACUCCUACGGGAGGCAGCGCUGUCCCCUCUUCCACAAUGGACGAAAGUCUUAUCUCUCCCCGCCGCGUGAGUGAAGAAGGUUUUCGGCUCGUCUCCCUCUUUUUUCAGAGACUUCCUUCUUCGAGAGUCUCUCCUCGUGCAGUGACGGUAUCUGGCCCCCCCGCCACGGCUAACUACGUGCCAGCCGCCGCAGUAA
Molecule: ribosomal RNA, 524 nt
Filed under: uncultured bacterium
Lineage: Bacteria
Description: partial 16S ribosomal RNA
Rfam family: Bacterial small subunit ribosomal RNA
Source: RNAcentral